Molecule: ribosomal RNA, 229 nt
Filed under: uncultured Thalassiosira
Lineage: Eukaryota; Bacillariophyta; Thalassiosirophyceae; Thalassiosirales; Thalassiosiraceae
Description: partial Bacterial large subunit ribosomal RNA
Rfam family: Bacterial large subunit ribosomal RNA
Source: RNAcentral
GCUAGCGAGGUUAAGUGGAAGACACGGAGCCGCAGCGAAAGCGAGUCUGAACAGGGCGUUCAGUUAGUGAUAGUAGACCCGAAACCGUAGUGAUCUAUCCAUGGCCAGGUUGAAGCACAGGUAAAAUUGUGUGGAGGACCGAACUCGUGAGCGUUGAAAAGCUUUGGGAUGAGUUGUGGAUAGGGGUGAAAUGCCAAUCGAACACGGAGAUAGCUGGUUCUCCCCGAAA